This is a long non-coding RNA of Neopsephotus bourkii (Bourke's parrot), 1205 nucleotides long. RefSeq lists it as uncharacterized. NCBI's taxonomy places the organism in Eukaryota, Metazoa, Chordata, Aves, Psittaciformes, Psittacidae. The transcript has 3 exons. The record is from RefSeq and is a predicted model, not a curated record.
UUAUCACAAACAAGACCAGAAUUCAUAUCAACACUAGGUUAACUACUAAGCUAUACUUGAAAAUCUAAGUACACAGUGUAUAUAUAUACAUACACAGAUAGAAAAUCUUUGGUUACCACGGAAUCAAUUUCCCUGUUGUAAUGCAAGUGAUGGUUAUACAUAAUACAUAGCUAUAAAGUGACCCCUGGGAAACACUGGUAUGUUAAAUCACAUUAAACAUGUUAUAAUCACUGCUUUGGCUCUCACUGAUAAGACAAACUAUCAAUAUAUGCAUCACUGCCAUCAAAUUUGAAUAGUCGGAAAGGUUUGUAACUAGGUAAUGGAAAGAUUUUCAUACAUGUGUAUUAACAACCCCUUAUUUUAUGGUACUGCAGUUUUUGCUCUGUCCACACAGCACUGACAAAUCAGCCUUUGGACUAGCCAGGAGGACCACAUGCUUCACAUCCAGCCCACUUUCCAUCCACAACUACCUUGGUGUUCAGAGACACAGCUAUACAGGUAUCUGGGAAAUAAAGCUAGGAAGAGUGUGCACUGAGUAAAAAGAAUGGCUAUUCCUUCAACUACCAUGGGAACUACAUCGGAACUGCAGCUCACACAUAAUGAAAGUCUUAUUAAGUCAGUGUCAAAUAUUCCAUAAACUUGCAAAUUCAAGUAAUGGCAGGAUCAAACCAUGAUUUAAAAGUAGUGAGGUAGUAUCAAGGACAAAACAUUUCAUAGCUUUCACUUCUCCAUUAACUGUUUCUAUGCAAGUGUUGCCUUCAGUGACUGGCAAGGCUUUCUCUAGUUCCAGUCAAGUAGCUUCAGCAUAAAUGCAAAUGGGUAACGAUAACUACAGUCAUGCACAGAAUUUCCUACUUCCCUGUAAGCUGCAAAUGCUCACUUUCAGCAAGAACGAAGAACAAAACCAUCAGCAUUCACAAUUUAAACCAGUUCUCAUUGCAUAAUGGUAAUUCUAUAUCCCUCUUACUUAGCUUUCAAAAGAUAAGAUAGUCCACAGACCAUACACCAUUGCUCGUACCUAAGCUAACUUUAUUGUAAAGCUUUCCCUCCCCAGAUCAGUAACGACUUGAAAACAAGCAGUGCUUCCUGCUCUUGAGCUGUGCUACAGUCUGUGGCACCACGACCAGACAGGAUCUACUGAACUUGCGUAGCAAUGAAAACUUCUUUGACAUUUUCUAAUCCUUGGUGGUCCAGAUUCUUCAAGG